AGAGUUUGAUCCUGGCUCAGGACGAACGCUGGCGGCACGCUUAACACAUGCAAGUCGAACGAGAGAAGAGGAGCUUGCUUUUCUGAUCUAGUGGCGGACGGGUGAGUAACACGUGAGCAAUCUGCCUUUCAGAGGGGGAUACCGAUUGGAAACGAUCGUUAAUACCGCAUAACAUAAUUGAACCGCAUGAUUUGAUUAUCAAAGAUUUAUCGCUGAAAGAUGAGCUCGCGUCUGAUUAGCUAGUUGGUAAGGUAACGGCUUACCAAGGCGACGAUCAGUAGCCGGACUGAGGGGUUGAUCGGCCACAUUGGGACUGAGACACGGCCCAGACUCCUACGGGAGGCAGCAGUGGGGAAUAUUGCACAAUGGAGGAAACUCUGAUGCAGCGAUGCCGCGUGAGGGAAGAAGGUUUUAGGAUUGUAAACCUCUGUCUUCAGGGACGAAAAAAGACGGUACCUGAGGAGGAAGCUCCGGCUAACUACGUGCCAGCAGCCGCGGUAAUACGUAGGGAGCGAGCGUUGUCCGGAAUUACUGGGUGUAAAGGGAGCGUAGGCGGGAUCGCAAGUCAGAUGUGAAAACUAUGGGCUUAACCCAUAAACUGCAUUUGAAACUGUGGUUCUUGAGUGAAGUAGAGGUAAGCGGAAUUCCUAGUGUAGCGGUGAAAUGCGUAGAUAUUAGGAGGAACAUCAGUGGCGAAGGCGGCUUACUGGGCUUUAACUGACGCUGAGGCUCGAAAGCGUGGGGAGCAAACAGGAUUAGAUACCCUGGUAGUCCACGCCGUAAACGAUGACUACUAGGUGUGGGGGGACUGACCCCUUCCGUGCCGCAGCAAACGCAAUAAGUAAUCCACCUGGGGAGUACGACCGCAAGGUUGAAACUCAAAGGAAUUGACGGGGGCCCGCACAAGCAGUGGAGUAUGUGGAUUAAUUCGAAGCAACGCGAAGAACCUUACCAGGUCUUGACAUCGUAUGCAUAGCUCAGAGAUGAGUGAAAUCUCUUCGGAGACAUAUAGACAGGUGGUGCAUGGUUGUCGUCAGCUCGUGUCGUGAGAUGUUGGGUUAAGUCCCGCAACGAGCGCAACCCUUACUGUUAGUUGCUACGCAAGAGCACUCUAGCAGGACUGCCGUUGACAAAACGGAGGAAGGUGGGGAUGACGUCAAAUCAUCAUGCCCCUUAUGACCUGGGCCUCACACGUACUACAAUGGCUGUCAACAGAGGGAAGCAAAGCCGCGAGGUGGAGCGAACCCCUAAAAGCAGUCUUAGUUCGGAUUGUAGGCUGCAACCCGCCUACAUGAAGUCGGAAUUGCUAGUAAUCGCAGAUCAGCAUGCUGCGGUGAAUACGUUCCCGGGCCUUGUACACACCGCCCGUCACGCCAUGGGAGUCGGUAACACCCGAAGCCUGUAGUCUAACCGCAAGGAGGACGCAGUCGAAGGUGGGAUUGAUGACUGGGGUGAAGUCGUAACAAGGUA
Molecule: ribosomal RNA, 1470 nt
Filed under: metagenome
Description: bacterial SSU rRNA
Rfam family: Bacterial small subunit ribosomal RNA
Source: RNAcentral